CGUACACUCCUACGGGAGGCAGCAGUGGGGAAUAUUGGACAAUGGGCGCAAGCCUGAUCCAGCCAUGCCGCGUGAGUGAUGAAGGCCCUAGGGUUGUAAAGCUCUUUCACCGGUGAAGAUAAUGACGGUAACCGGAGAAGAAGCCCCGGCUAACUUCGUGCCAGCAGCCGCGGUAAUACGAAGGGGGCUAGCGUUGUUCGGAUUUACUGGGCGUAAAGCGCACGUAGGCGGACUAUUAAGUCAGGGGUGAAAUCCCGGGGCUCAACCCCGGAACUGCCUUGGAUACUGGUAGUCUUGAGUUCGAGAGAGGUGAGUGGAAUUCCGAGUGUAGAGGUGAAAUUCGUAGAUAUUCGGAGGAACACCAGUGGCGAAGGCGGCUCACUGGCUCGAUACUGACGCUGAGGUGCGAAAGCGUGGGGAGCAAACAGGAGGAGAUACCCCUGUAGUCCCAUG
RNAcentral lists this ribosomal RNA (453 nucleotides) under uncultured organism. RNAcentral's name for it is "partial 16S ribosomal RNA". It matches the Rfam family "Bacterial small subunit ribosomal RNA", at positions 330 to 799 of the family's 1533-position model. The record is from RNAcentral.